ACCUCUGCUCUCUCCCUCUCUGUCCGUUCAGAGCUCCGGCGAGCAAUCGAAGCCCUAAACGCCGGCGGACGAACACCUCCCUCACGCUGUGCCGGCGAACGAACGAAGCUUCAAGGGCCCGUUCUAGGGGUUUGCUGCACGUUCUGGGGUUUUGAUUUCGAGGUUAAACACUAAGGAAGUAGAAAAUGCAAAUCCAAUGAAGUAGAAAAUCUGCCUUGAUGGAGCUGUCUUGAUGGAACUGCUGCUGUUCUCAAAACAGAAUUUCAGGAACAGAAUUUUGGAAAUUCACUAAAGCUUUUCAAGUGAUGUUGUGAAAUUGGUCUGCUGAUGUUGGACACCUCUAUUUUGAGCAUCAAAAGGAACAAGAUUGGUGCAGAUCAUCAAAAGGAACACCAAUCUGAUUGCUCGGGUUUAAGGCAAUAAGGCUUUUACUAAUCUGGUAUAAGGCUGUUACUCCUUGAUUCAAUAUCACUUCUUGGGGAUGUUCUGGUGCUUCAGGACUUCUACUGGAUUGAUCACUUUUUUGGAAGUACACCAAAUAGUAAGAGCUCUUUUUUCUGGACGGUUUGCUAGGCUGGUGUAUUGUAUACUGCUAAAACAUUGCAGUGGUUGUAGUUUUUGUUCUUCUUCUUUGGGUUGGCUUCUGGCCAGCCCUCUUCUUCUUUGUAUUUUUGUUCCCUUUAGUCUUUGUAAUCCUUUUUCAAAGAUUAAUAAAAUUUCUUUGCCGUUCAAAAAAAAAAA
Molecule: long non-coding RNA, 741 nt
Organism: Rhododendron vialii
Lineage: Eukaryota; Viridiplantae; Streptophyta; Magnoliopsida; Ericales; Ericaceae
Exons: 2
Source: RefSeq, a predicted model, not a curated record